AGAACGAACGCUGGCGGCAGGCUUAACACAUGCAAGUCGAACGCCCCGCAAGGGGAGUGGCAGACGGGUGAGUAACACGUGGGAACAUACCCUUUGGUUCGGAAUAACUCAGGGAAACUUGAGCUAAUACCGGAUAAGCGCGAGAGCGGAAAGAUUUAUCGCCGAAGGAUUGGCCCGCGUCCGAUUAGCUAGUUGGUGAGGUAAUGGCUCACCAAGGCGACGAUCGGUAGCUGGUCUGAGAGGAUGAUCAGCCACACUGGGACUGAGACACGGCCCAGACUCCUACGGGAGCAGCAGUGGGGAAUAUUGGACAAUGGGCGCAAGCCUGAUCCAGCCAUGCCGCGUGGGUGAUGAAGGCCCGUAGGGUUGUAAAGCUCUUUCGCCAGGGACGAUAAUGACGGUACUGGAAUAAGAAGCCCCGGAUAACUUCGUGCCAGCAGCCGC
Molecule: ribosomal RNA, 444 nt
Filed under: uncultured soil bacterium
Lineage: Bacteria
Description: bacterial SSU rRNA
Rfam family: Bacterial small subunit ribosomal RNA
Source: RNAcentral